RNAcentral lists this ribosomal RNA (543 nucleotides) under Sphaerotheca breviceps (Indian burrowing frog). RNAcentral describes it as "partial 16S ribosomal RNA". It matches the Rfam family "Bacterial large subunit ribosomal RNA", at positions 1854 to 2608 of the family's 2925-position model. Lineage: Eukaryota; Metazoa; Chordata; Amphibia; Anura; Dicroglossidae. The record is from RNAcentral.
CAGCCUGCCCAGUGACAUAGUUAAACGGCCGCGGUACCCUGACCGUGCGAAGGUAGCAUAAUCACUUGUUCUUUAAAUGGGGACUAGUAUCAACGGCAUCACGAGGGCUUUUCUGUCUCCUUUUUCCAAUCAGUGAAACUGAUCUCCCUGUGAAGAAGCAGGGAUCAACAUAUAAGACGAGAAGACCCCAUGGAGCUUUAAACCCAAUGAGCAGCCCGACCCUAUAUAUUGCAUCUUAGUCACUUACAAGCCUUGUUCAUUGGUUUUAGGUUGGGGUGACCGCGGAGAAAAACUAAACCUCCACGACGCAUGGGACUACUCCCUUAUCCAAGAGCCACUUCUCUAAGAAUUAAAACAUUAACGUUCUAUGAUCCAAAUAAUUGAUCAACGGACCAAGUUACCCUGGGGAUAACAGCGCAAUCCAUUUUGAGAGCCCCUAUCGACAAAUGGGUUUACGACCUCGAUGUUGGAUCAGGGUGUCCCAGUGGUGCAGCCGCUACUAAUGGUUUGUUUGUUCAACAAUUAAAACCCUACGUGAUCUGG